AUGGCCAAGGGCUGGAUAUUCUCUGCUUUGCUGGUGCUGUUUCUUGUGAUGGCUCCUGCUUGUGAGGCGUUCUACUUGCCAGGUAGUUACAUGCACACGUACCGGCAAGGCGAGGAGAUAGGAGCAAAGGUGAACUCGCUCACAUCCAUCGAGACAGAACUGCCUUUCAGCUACUACAGCCUCCCAUACUGCCGUCCUAAGGGUGGGAUAAAGAAGAGUGCUGAAAAUCUGGGGGAGCUCCUUAUGGGUGACCAGAUUGAUAAUUCCCCUUACCGUUUCCAUGUCAAUGUCAAUGAAUCGCUCUACCUGUGUACCACGAGCCCACUUGAUGAGGAUGAUGUGAAGCUCCUCAAGCAGCGAAGCCAGGACCUCUACCAGGUGAACAUGAUUCUUGACAAUCUUCCUGUGAGGAGGUUUACCGAGCAGAAUGGAAUGACCAUUCAGUGGACAGGCUAUCCAGUUGGUUAUACCCCAGAAGGUACCUCCGAUGUCUACAUCAUUAAUCACCUGAAAUUUAAAGUCUUGGUCCAUAAGUAUGAAGGAGGUAAAGUGAGGGUCGUUGGAACUGGGGAAGGAAUGGAAGUGAUCUCAGAAUCUGACACUGACACUGAUGCCAAGUCUGGGUAUGAGAUAGUGGGAUUUGAGGUUGUCCCAUGCAGUGUGAAGCGUGAUCCUGAAGCCAUGUCGAAGCUUACGAUGUAUGAAAAGGUUGAUUCUGUGAGCUGCCCUGUGGAGUUGGAGAAAUCUCAAAUGAUCAGGGAGAAGGAGCAGAUUACUUUUACAUACGAGGUUGAAUUUGUAAACAGUGACAUCAGAUGGCCAUCACGGUGGGAUGCAUACCUGAAGAUGGAGGGUGCGAAAAUUCACUGGUUCUCAAUUAUGAACUCGUUGAUGGUAAUACUGUUCUUGGCUGGCAUUGUUUUUGUCAUAUUAUUGCGGACAGUGAGGAGGGACUUGACUAGAUAUGAGGAGCUGGAUAAGGAGUCCCAAGCUCAGAUGAAUGAGGAGCUCUCUGGGUGGAAGCUGGUUGUUGGAGAUGUUUUCAGAGAGCCAACCUCAUCAAAGCUGUUCUGUGUUAUGAUUGGUGACGGAGUACAAAUUCUGGGUAUGGCGAUUGUCACCAUUUUCUUUGCCACCUUUGGAUUCAUGUCUCCUGCGUCUAGAGGAAUGCUGUUAACAGGGAUGAUAUUCCUUUAUAUGCUACUUGGAAUUUUGGCCGGAUAUGCUGCUGUCAGGCUCUGGAGGACUGUAAAAGGAACUUCUGAGGGAUGGAGGUCUGUCUCCUGGUCAACUGCCUGUUUCUUCCCUGGCAUUGUCUUCAUUGUCCUCACUGUAUUGAACUUCAUGCUGUGGUCAAGAAAUAGUACUGGAGCCCUUCCCAUUUCACUUUUCUUCACUCUUCUCUCCUUGUGGUUCUGUAUCUCGGUGCCACUUACCCUUCUAGGUGGUUUCCUUGGAACAAGGGCUGAGCCAAUUGAAUUCCCCGUUCGAACCAAUCAAAUACCAAGAGAAAUCCCUUCAAAAAAUUACUCAUGGCUCCUCAUAUUUGGUGCUGGAACUCUACCUUUCGGAACACUCUUCAUUGAGCUCUUCUUCAUUCUCUCAAGCAUCUGGCUCGGAAGGUUCUAUUAUGUGUUUGGGUUCCUCCUUGUUGUGCUCCUUCUGCUGGUUGUGGUAUGCGCUGAGGUAUCUGUUGUUCUUACGUACAUGCACCUCUGUGCUGAGGACUGGAGGUGGUGGUGGAAAGCUUUCUUUGCCUCUGGAGCAGUGGCAUUUUAUGUGUUCCUCUACUCUAUCAACUACUUGGUGUUUGAUCUGAGAAGCUUGAGUGGGCCAGUUUCUGCUACGCUCUAUAUUGGAUACGCUUUCAUUGUCUCUCUUGCCAUCAUGCUAGCUACUGGGACUGUUGGGUUCCUGACAUCAUUCUCUUUUGUUCACUACCUUUUCUCGAAUGUCAAGAUUGAUUGA
This 1968-nucleotide ribosomal RNA is filed under the name Triticum aestivum (bread wheat). RNAcentral's name for it is "partial small subunit ribosomal RNA". Lineage: Eukaryota; Viridiplantae; Streptophyta; Magnoliopsida; Poales; Poaceae. The record is from RNAcentral.